GACGAACGCUGGCGGCGUGCUUAACACAUGCAAGUCGAACGGAAAGGCCCUGCUGUUGUGGGGUGCUCGAGUGGCGAACGGGUGAGUAACACGUGAGUAACCUGCCCUUGACUUUGGGAUAACUUCAGGAAACUGGGGCUAAUACCGGAUAGGAGCUCCUGCUGCAUGGAGGGGGUUGGAAAGUUUCGGCGGUUGGGGAUGGGCUCGCGGCUUAUCAGCUUGUUGGUGGGGUGGUGGCUUACCAAGGCUUUGACGGGUAGCCGGCCUGGGAGGGUGACCGGCCACAUUGGGACUGAGAUACGGCCCAGACUCCUACGGGAGGCAGCAGUGGGGAAUAUUGCACAAUGGGCGGAAGCCUGAUGCAGCAGCGCCGCGUGUGGGAUGACGGCCUUCGGGUUGUAAACCGCUUUCGCCUGUGACGAAGCGUGAGUGACGGUAAUGGGUAAAGAAGCACCGGCUAACUACGUG
This 468-nucleotide ribosomal RNA is filed under the name uncultured bacterium. Its description in RNAcentral is "partial 16S ribosomal RNA". It matches the Rfam family "Bacterial small subunit ribosomal RNA", at positions 28 to 507 of the family's 1533-position model. The record is from RNAcentral.